GUAGGUGGCAAGCGUUGUCCGGAAUUAUUGGGCGUAAAGCGCGCGCAGGCGGGUUCUUUAAGUCUGAUGUGAAAGCCCACGGGCUCAACCGUGGAGGGUCAUUGGAAACUGGAGAACUUGAGUACAGAAGAGGAAAGCGGAAUUCCACGUGUAGCGGUGAAAUGCGUAGAGAUGUGGAGGAACACCAGUGGCGAAGGCGGCUUUCUGGUCUGUAACUGACGCCGAGGCGCGAAAGCGUGGGGAGCAAACAGGAUUAGAUACCCUGGUAGCCCACGCCGUAAACGAUGAGUGCUAAGUGUUAGGGGGUUUCCGCCCCUUAGUGCUGCAGCUAACGCAUUAAGCACUCCGCCUGGGGAGUACGGCCGCAAGGCUG
RNAcentral lists this ribosomal RNA (373 nucleotides) under uncultured organism. RNAcentral's name for it is "partial 16S ribosomal RNA". It matches the Rfam family "Bacterial small subunit ribosomal RNA", at positions 527 to 896 of the family's 1533-position model. The record is from RNAcentral.